AUCUUAAUUCUACUUUUUCCUCAGCUUCAGAAUUACAGCGACAAAUUUUCCUUUCAGAGCACCAUGUGAGCAGCAGCUGUAAUCACCAGGACAGGACACGUACAUGGAAAUCAGAAUGUUAAACUCCUGUGGAGAAUUUCUUUUGCCUUCUCUUAUACUCCAGGAAGAAGCAUUCUACAGACAAGAAAUCAAGCUUCUUCCUUCAGAUGGCCAAGCUGUGAGUCUUGGCUGCCUUGUCAGAUGAUGAGGAAUGGCUAUAGUUAUCAAGAGAGCAACUACUUCAAACCAAGUUCACAGAAGUCAGCAGUCCCAGCUGACAUCACAGACAGAUGAAGUGAAUGCACUGAUAAAAAAGAUGUCUUUGCCUCAGAAUUCAGUAUGCCUCCCAUUAUUUGCGUCAUCAGCACAUUUCAGCAGAUUUCCAUUGAAAACUGCACGACAUUGAGAUAAGAACCAUCAAACAGCGGUGAGAACUUUGCUCACUUCUCCUCAUUAACUCUGCUGGAUUUGACAGCUUUGAUUUGAGGUUUGCAUUUUUGCACUCAACCAGUCAGAGAGGAUUCCUCUGUCAGAGGAAGCAAGACAUCCAAAUCUGGCCAGCUUCUCUUACAUGCAAACCAGUUUGCACAGUCUCUUCCUUCUACUCAGAGGAAGCCUCUUUUCCCAUUCUGAAACCGCAACCCAGGAGAGAUGAUUCCCCAUGAAUAAUACAGGACUAUUAAAAACACUGAAUUGCCACUUAAGAGGGCAGUAGAUUUCCCAGAAGGAUCACUUUUCGU
This is a long non-coding RNA of Falco peregrinus (peregrine falcon), 779 nucleotides long. RefSeq lists it as uncharacterized. The record is from RefSeq and is a predicted model, not a curated record. Lineage: Eukaryota; Metazoa; Chordata; Aves; Falconiformes; Falconidae. The transcript has 3 exons.